GACGAACGCUGGCGGCGUGCUUAACACAUGCAAGUCGAACGGAAAGGCCCUGCUUUUGUGGGGUGCUCGAGUAGCGAACGGGUGAGUAACACGUGAGUAACCUGCCCUUGACUUUGGGAUAACUUCAGGAAACUGGGGCUAAUACCGGAUAGGAGCUCCUGCUGCAUGGUGGGGGUUGGAAAGUUUCGGCGGUUGGGGAUGGACUCGCGGCUUAUCAGCUUGUUGGUGGGGUAGUGGCUUACCAAGGCUUUGACGGGUAGCCGGCCUGAGAGGGUGACCGGGCACAUUGGGACUGAGGUACGGCCCAGACUCCUACGGGAGGCAGCCGUGGGGAAUAUUGCACAAUGGGCGGAAGCCUGAUGCAGCAACGCCGCGUGCGGGAUGACGGCCUUCGGGUUGUAAACCGCUUUCGCCUGUGACGAAGCGUGAGUGACGGUAAUGGGUAAAGAAGCACCGGCUAACUACGUG
Molecule: ribosomal RNA, 468 nt
Filed under: uncultured bacterium
Lineage: Bacteria
Description: partial 16S ribosomal RNA
Rfam family: Bacterial small subunit ribosomal RNA
Source: RNAcentral